Molecule: ribosomal RNA, 798 nt
Filed under: Cuniculus taczanowskii (Mountain paca)
Lineage: Eukaryota; Metazoa; Chordata; Mammalia; Rodentia; Cuniculidae
Description: partial 16S ribosomal RNA
Rfam family: Bacterial large subunit ribosomal RNA (bases 230-346)
Source: RNAcentral
CUAAGCUAGCCCACAAAACCCAAACACAAAUACCUUGAACCCACAAAAUAAAACAUUUUAACCAUAAAAGNAUAGGAGAUAGAAAUUUUAAUUGGCGCUAUAGAGAUAGUACCCGAAGGGAAAGAUGAAAGAAAAAAUAAAAGUAAAAAAUAGCAUAGAUUACCCCUACUACCUUUUGCAUAAUGAUUUAACUAGAAACUACUUGACAAAGAGAACUGAAGCCAAACACCCCGAAACCAAACGAGCUACUUCUGAACAGCUAACAGAGCAAACUCAUCUAUGUAGCAAAAUAGUGAGAAGAUUUAGAAGUAGAGGUGAAAAGCCUACCGAGCUUGGUGAUAGCUGGUUAUCCAAACUAGAAUUUUAGUUCGACUUUAAGUUUUCCAAAGAUACUUCCAACUAAAAUGAAAUCUUAAAAUCUAAUUUAAAGGGGGACAGCCCUUUAAAAUAAGGAAACAACCUCAAACAGCGGGUAAACAACCAAUUCACCAUAGUUGGCCUAAAAGCAGCCAUCAAUCAAGAAAGCGUUCAAGCUCAACAAAUUACACAAACCUAAUUCCAAUAUUCAUGCAAUCAACCCCUGUUAAACAAUUGGAUUAAUCUAUAAAAUCAUAGAAGAAACAAUGUUAAUAUUAGUAACAAGAAAUACUUCUCCGAGCACAAGGCUAACACCAAAUCUCACACUUGGUAUUUAACAGCUUGAUAAGACCAGACACCCAUAAAACGUAUUAUCAAUCCUACUGUUAACCCAACAUAGGAGUGCAACCACGGAAAGACUAAAAAAAGCAAAAGGAACUC